This 1515-nucleotide ribosomal RNA is filed under the name Staphylococcus sp. SMLCC1. RNAcentral's name for it is "bacterial SSU rRNA". It matches the Rfam family "Bacterial small subunit ribosomal RNA". Lineage: Bacteria; Bacillati; Bacillota; Bacilli; Caryophanales; Staphylococcaceae. The record is from RNAcentral.
CCCUGCUCAGGAUGAACGCUGGCGGCGUGCCUAAUACAUGCAAGUCGAGCGAACGGACGAGAAGCUUGCUUCUCUGAUGUUAGCGGCGGACGGGUGAGUAACACGUGGAUAACCUACCUAUAAGACUGGGAUAACUUCGGGAAACCGGAGCUAAUACCGGAUAAUAUUUUGAACCGCAUGGUUCAAAAGUGAAAGACGGUCUUGCUGUCACUUAUAGAUGGAUCCGCGCUGCAUUAGCUAGUUGGUAAGGUAACGGCUUACCAAGGCAACGAUGCAUAGCCGACCUGAGAGGGUGAUCGGCCACACUGGAACUGAGACACGGUCCAGACUCCUACGGGAGGCAGCAGUAGGGAAUCUUCCGCAAUGGGCGAAAGCCUGACGGAGCAACGCCGCGUGAGUGAUGAAGGUCUUCGGAUCGUAAAACUCUGUUAUUAGGGAAGAACAUAUGUGUAAGUAACUGUGCACAUCUUGACGGUACCUAAUCAGAAAGCCACGGCUAACUACGUGCCAGCAGCCGCGGUAAUACGUAGGUGGCAAGCGUUAUCCGGAAUUAUUGGGCGUAAAGCGCGCGUAGGCGGUUUUUUAAGUCUGAUGUGAAAGCCCACGGCUCAACCGUGGAGGGUCAUUGGAAACUGGAAAACUUGAGUGCAGAAGAGGAAAGUGGAAUUCCAUGUGUAGCGGUGAAAUGCGCAGAGAUAUGGAGGAACACCAGUGGCGAAGGCGACUUUCUGGUCUGUAACUGACGCUGAUGUGCGAAAGCGUGGGGAUCAAACAGGAUUAGAUACCCUGGUAGUCCACGCCGUAAACGAUGAGUGCUAAGUGUUAGGGGGUUUCCGCCCCUUAGUGCUGCAGCUAACGCAUUAAGCACUCCGCCUGGGGAGUACGACCGCAAGGUUGAAACUCAAAGGAAUUGACGGGGACCCGCACAAGCGGUGGAGCAUGUGGUUUAAUUCGAAGCAACGCGAAGAACCUUACCAAAUCUUGACAUCCUUUGACAACUCUAGAGAUAGAGCCUUCCCCUUCGGGGGACAAAGUGACAGGUGGUGCAUGGUUGUCGUCAGCUCGUGUCGUGAGAUGUUGGGUUAAGUCCCGCAACGAGCGCAACCCUUAAGCUUAGUUGCCAUCAUUAAGUUGGGCACUCUAAGUUGACUGCCGGUGACAAACCGGAGGAAGGUGGGGAUGACGUCAAAUCAUCAUGCCCCUUAUGAUUUGGGCUACACACGUGCUACAAUGGACAAUACAAAGGGCAGCGAAACCGCGAGGUCAAGCAAAUCCCAUAAAGUUGUUCUCAGUUCGGAUUGUAGUCUGCAACUCGACUACAUGAAGCUGGAAUCGCUAGUAAUCGUAGAUCAGCAUGCUACGGUGAAUACGUUCCCCGGGUCUUGUACACACCGGCCCGUCACACCACGAAGAGUUUGUAACACCCCGAAGCCCGGGGGAGUAACCUUUUUAGGAGCUAGCCCGUCCAAAGGGGGGACAAAAUGAUUGGGGGUGAAUCACCAAAAGGGGGGACCA